GGGCUGCUGGCUCAAAGGGAGAGCAUCCGGUUUGCACCCGGAAGGUUGUCGGUUCGAGUCCGACGCGGUCCA
This 72-nucleotide transfer RNA is filed under the name Deltaproteobacteria bacterium. Its description in RNAcentral is "tRNA-Ala". It matches the Rfam family "tRNA". From Rfam's summary of the family: Transfer RNA (tRNA) molecules are approximately 80 nucleotides in length. Their secondary structure includes four short double-helical elements and three loops (D, anti-codon, and T loops). Lineage: Bacteria; Pseudomonadati; Myxococcota; Myxococcia. The record is from RNAcentral.